GCCCGUGGAGCCUGCUUACCAUGCAAGUCGAACGGAAAGGCCCUUCGGGGUACUCGAGUGGCGAACGGGUGAGUAACACGUGGGUGAUCUGCCCUGCACUUUGGGAUAAGCCUGGGAAACUGGGUCUAAUACCGAAUAGGACUCCGGACUGCAUGGUCUGGGGUGGAAAGCUUUUGCGGUGUGGGAUGGGCCCGCGGCCUAUCAGCUUGUUGGUGGGGUGAUGGCCUACCAAGGCGACGACGGGUAGCCGGCCUGAGAGGGUGUCCGGCCACACUGGGACUGAGAUACGGCCCAGACUCCUACGGGAGGCAGCAGUGGGGAAUAUUGCACAAUGGGCGCAAGCCUGAUGCAGCGACGCCGCGUGGGGGAUGACGGCCUUCGGGUUGUAAACCUCUUUCGCUAGGGACGAAGCGCAAGUGACGGUACCUAGAGAAGAAGCACCGGCCAACUACGUGCCAGCAGCCGCGGUAAUACGUAGGGUGCGAGCGUUGUCCGGAAUUACUGGGCGUAAAGAGCUCGUAGGUGGUUUGUCGCGUUGUUCGUGAAAACUCACAGCUUAACUGUGGGCGUGCGGGCGAUACGGGCAGACUGGAGUACUGCAGGGGAGACUGGAAUUCCUGGUGUAGCGGUGGAAUGCGCAGAUAUCAGGAGGAACACCGGUGGCGAAGGCGGGUCUCUGGGCAGUAACUGACGCUGAGGAGCGAAAGCGUGGGGAGCGAACAGGAUUAGAUACCCUGGUAGUCCACGCCGUAAACGGUGGGUACUAGGUGUGGGUUUCCUUCCUUGGGAUCCGUGCCGUAGCUAACGCAUUAAGUACCCCGCCUGGGGAGUACGGCCGCAAGGCUAAAACUCAAAGGAAUUGACGGGGGCCCGCACAAGCGGCGGAGCAUGUGGAUUAAUUCGAUGCAACGCGAAGAACCUUACCUGGGUUUGACAUGCACAGGACGCCAGUAGAGAUAUUGGUUCCCUUGUGGCCUGUGUGCAGKKGGUGCAUGGCUGUCGUCAGCUCGUGUCGUGAGAUGUUGGGUUAAGUCCCGCAACGAGCGCAACCCUUGUCUCAUGUUGCCAGCACGUUAUGGUGGGGACUCGUGAGAGACUGCCGGGGUCAACUCGGAGGAAGGUGGGGAUGACGUCAAGUCAUCAUGCCCCUUAUGUCCAGGGCUUCACACAUGCUACAAUGGCCGGUACAGAGGGCUGCGAUGCCGUGAGGUGGAGCGAAUCCUUGAAAGCCGGUCUCAGUUCGGAUCGGGGUCUGCAACUCGACCCCGUGAAGUCGGAGUCGCUAGUAAUCGCAGAUCAGCAACGCUGCGGUGAAUACGUUCCCGGGCCUUGUACACACCGCCCGUCACGUCAUGAAAGUCGGUAACACCUGAAGCCGGUGCCUAACCCUUGGGACGGAGCCGUUGUAGAGGGUCCCCC
This 1419-nucleotide ribosomal RNA is filed under the name Mycobacterium sp. MUSC185T. RNAcentral describes it as "bacterial SSU rRNA". It matches the Rfam family "Bacterial small subunit ribosomal RNA". The record is from RNAcentral. Lineage: Bacteria; Bacillati; Actinomycetota; Actinomycetes; Mycobacteriales; Mycobacteriaceae.